This 253-nucleotide ribosomal RNA is filed under the name uncultured Gammaproteobacteria bacterium. RNAcentral describes it as "partial 16S ribosomal RNA". It matches the Rfam family "Bacterial small subunit ribosomal RNA", at positions 524 to 776 of the family's 1533-position model. Lineage: Bacteria; Pseudomonadati; Pseudomonadota; Gammaproteobacteria. The record is from RNAcentral.
UACAGAGGGUGCAAGCGUUAAUCGGAAUGACUGGGCGUAAAGCGUGUGUAGGUGGUUGGAUAAGUUAGAUGUGAAAUCCCUGGGCUUAACCUGGGCACUGCGUUUAAGACUGUCUGGCUAGAGUACUGUAGAGGAUAGUGGAAUUUCCAGUGUAGCGGUGAAAUGCGUAGAUAUUGGAAGGAACACCAGUGGCGAAGGCGACUAUCUGGAUAGAUACUGACACUGAGACACGAAAGCGUGGGGAGCAAACAGG